Small nuclear RNA from Cercocebus atys (sooty mangabey), 104 nucleotides. Lineage: Eukaryota; Metazoa; Chordata; Mammalia; Primates; Cercopithecidae. The record is from Ensembl.
GUGCUUACUUCAGCAGCACAUACACUAAAAUUGAAAGGUUACAGAGAUUAGCAUAGCCUCUGUGCAAGGAUGACACACAGAUGCAUGAAGCAUUGCAGAUUUUU